AGCAUAUCAAUAAGCGGAGGAAAAGAAACCAACAGGGAUUGCCCCUAGUAACGGCGAGUGAAGCGGCAACAGCUCAAAUUUGAAAUCUGGCUCUUUUAGAGUCCGAGUUGUAAUUUGCAGAGGGCGCUUUGGCUUUGGCAGCGGUCCAAGUUCCUUGGAACAGGACGUCACAGAGGGUGAGAAUCCCGUACGUGGUCGCUAGCUAUUGCCGUGUAAAGCCCCUUCGACGAGUCGAGUUGUUUGGGAAUGCAGCUCUAAAUGGGAGGUAAAUUUCUUCUAAAGCUAAAUACUGGCCAGAGACCGAUAGCGCACAAGUAGAGUGAUCGAAAGAUGAAAAGCACUUUGGAAAGAGAGUCAAACAGCACGUGAAAUUGUUGAAAGGGAAGCGCUUGCAGCCAGACUUGCUUGCAGUUGCUCAUCCGGGCUCUUUUGCCCGGUGCAUUCUUCUGCAGGCAGGCCAGCAUCAGUUUGGGCGGUGGGAUAAAGGUCUCUGUCACGUACCUCUCUUCGGGGAGGCCUUAUAGGGGAGACGACAUACCACCAGCCUGGACUGAGGUCCGCGCAUUUAUGCUAGGAUGCUGGCGUAAUGGCUGUAAGCGGCCCGUCUUGAAACACGGACCAAGGAGUCUAACAUCUAUGCGAGUGUUUGGGUGUCAAGCCCGAACGCGUAAUGAAAGUGAACGGAGGUGGGAACCCGCAAGGGUGCACCAUCGACCGAUCCUGAUGUCUUCGGAAGGAUUUGAGUAAGAGCAUGGCUGUUGGGACCCGAAAGAUGGUGAACUAUGCUUGAAUAGGGUGAAGCCAGAGGAAACUCUGGUGGAGGCUCGCAGCGGUUCUGACGUGCAAAUCGAUCGUCAAAUUUGGGCAUAGGGGCGAAAGACUAAUCGAACUAUCUAGUAGCUGGUUCCUGCCGA
Molecule: ribosomal RNA, 914 nt
Filed under: Pyrenophora japonica
Lineage: Eukaryota; Fungi; Ascomycota; Dothideomycetes; Pleosporales; Pleosporaceae
Description: LSU rRNA
Rfam family: Eukaryotic large subunit ribosomal RNA
Source: RNAcentral